RNAcentral lists this long non-coding RNA (457 nucleotides) under Glycine max (soybean). RNAcentral describes it as "long non-coding RNA (GMAX_LNC002576)". Lineage: Eukaryota; Viridiplantae; Streptophyta; Magnoliopsida; Fabales; Fabaceae. The record is from RNAcentral.
CAUAGCUGGGUAUACAACAACUAAUGCCCAUGUGGCAAAUAAUCAACCUAAUUACAUUGCAGGGUAUAGGACUAGCACCACCCAAGAAUCCAAUACACCUUCUUACAUUGCAGGGUAUAGGACUAGCACCACCCAAGAAUCCAAUACACCUUCUUACAUUGCAGGGUAUAGGACUAGCACCACCCAAGAAUCCAAUACACCUUACAUUGCAGGGUAUAGGACUAGCACCACCCAAGAAUCCAAUACACCUUACAUUGCAGGGUAUAGGACUAGCACCACCCAAGAAUCCAAUACACCUUACAUUGCAGGGUAUAGGACUAGAACCACCCAUGAUCCUAAUGCACCUUACAUAGCUGGGUACACAACAACUAGUGCCAAGAAAGCUCCAAAAGGGUCAUCUCAUGAUGAUACCACUGGACCUUACAUAACCCAAUAUGGUGGACCCGGUCCCAAAAAU